Molecule: long non-coding RNA, 760 nt
Organism: Dermacentor andersoni
Lineage: Eukaryota; Metazoa; Arthropoda; Arachnida; Ixodida; Ixodidae
Source: RefSeq, a predicted model, not a curated record
GUACGAAAAUGGUUGCCAUGACAAAAACAACUUUCCGUAUCCACGGUGCAAGGACGUGUACUCGUGGUAUUUCUACUGCGCCUUAGAGACUGCUGUUAACUUCACCAUCAACGUCACGGUGGCUUAUAAAGGACAGGAAAAUCGCACCUUAAGCUUUAACCUGAACAAUGCAACAACAGCUGAGUGGAAUCCAGAAAGUCUGACAAAGCAACAAUAUCAGAAAGGACCAACUGUAGGCAAGGCCCACGGUUAAAGCGACAGUUCAAAAGCUUACGUACGAGGAUGGAUGCAAGCAACCAUCAUAUUCCUCUAGUAUGAUGUGCAGUGACAUUUAUAUGUGGUAUAUAUACAUUGGCAUAGUUACUCCGUUUAACCUCCCGAUCAAUGUAACAGUAUCAGACAAGGAUCAGAAAAAUGAGACAUUACUAGUCGACAUAAACAAUGCAUCAUACAUAUAUUGGAAUCCGAAAAAUCUUACGACGGCCCUUCUGUUUAAAGAACCCUAUUCUGAAGAGAAAUGUAAUUUCAGCGUUGAAGUCACUUUUACUGGGAUGUUCACUUAUAAGGUAACAACUGUAGACGACGACAAGCCUCAAGAGGGUUCUCAUGGCAUAGGAAGGGUCGCAAUGAAUAAUCAAAAUCUCACGCAACGUGAUGACCAUAUUUUAGCGUACAACAUCAGUGGCGUAUUUCAACACAGAGUGAUAUGUAAAUAAAUAUUUACCAUGUUGAAAGGCAAUAAAGAACUGUGAACCAGCAA